RNAcentral lists this ribosomal RNA (534 nucleotides) under Acidovorax sp. BA1. Its description in RNAcentral is "bacterial SSU rRNA". It matches the Rfam family "Bacterial small subunit ribosomal RNA", at positions 55 to 586 of the family's 1533-position model. The record is from RNAcentral. Lineage: Bacteria; Pseudomonadati; Pseudomonadota; Betaproteobacteria; Burkholderiales; Comamonadaceae.
AUGCAAGUCGAACGGUAACAGGUCUUCGGAUGCUGACGAGUGGCGAACGGGUGAGUAAUACAUCGGAACGUGCCCGAGAGUGGGGGAUAACGAGGCGAAAGCUUUGCUAAUACCGCAUACGAUCUCAGGAUGAAAGCAGGGGACCGCAAGGCCUUGCGCUCACGGAGCGGCCGAUGGCAGAUUAGGUAGUUGGUGGGAUAAAAGCUUACCAAGCCGACGAUCUGUAGCUGGUCUGAGAGGACGACCAGCCACACUGGGACUGAGACACGGCCCAGACUCCUACGGGAGGCAGCAGUGGGGAAUUUUGGACAAUGGGCGCAAGCCUGAUCCAGCCAUGCCGCGUGCAGGAUGAAGGCCUUCGGGUUGUAAACUGCUUUUGUACGGAACGAAAAGACUCCUUCUAAUAAAGGGGGUCCAUGACGGUACCGUAAGAAUAAGCACCGGCUAACUACGUGCCAGCAGCCGCGGUAAUACGUAGGGUGCGAGCGUUAAUCGGAAUUACUGGGCGUAAAGCGUGCGCAGGCGGUUAUAUAA